RNAcentral lists this transfer RNA (87 nucleotides) under Coemansia aciculifera. RNAcentral describes it as "tRNA-Thr". It matches the Rfam family "tRNA". Rfam says of the family: Transfer RNA (tRNA) molecules are approximately 80 nucleotides in length. Their secondary structure includes four short double-helical elements and three loops (D, anti-codon, and T loops). Lineage: Eukaryota; Fungi; Kickxellomycota; Kickxellomycetes; Kickxellales; Kickxellaceae. The record is from RNAcentral.
GCCCCCGUGGCAAAGUGGUUAAUGCGUGUCGCUUGUACUUUACUGUUAGCAACGACAAGAUCACUGGUUCGAAUCCGGUCGGGGGCA